AAACCUCUCCUUCCGGAAGCUGUCUGGGAGCCCAGGUCCCCCUGACCGGGGCCAUCGCCCGUUGAGGGUGCAAGGCCCGUGCGGCUCUCGGCGUCCGGAGGACGGUUUUAUUUCUCCCGGGAGUCGGGUUGCUUGGGAGUGCAGCCCUAAGAGGGUGGUAAACUCCAUCUAAGGCUAAAUACUUCCACGAGACCGAUAGCAAACAAGUACCGUGAGGGAAAGUUGCAAAGAACUUUGAAGAGAGAGUUCAAGAGUACGUGAAACCGCUCGUAGGUAAACGGGUGGGCCCUCGAAGGCAAGCAGGAGGGGAUUCAACCCGUUGGCAGUCGACCGUGCACUGCGGUUUUUCUCGAAACGGAUCCGAGAGACCGGCCCGUUGGUGCCGCGGUCGUCAGCGGGCGCACUUCCCCUUCUCGCGUCCCGUCGUCUUUACCGAAGGCGGGACCGAACGCCGCGACCGGUCGGGAGAUACGACGGCGGCCAAGCGGCGAGACUGGGCAGGUAUCCUACUCGUCCUUUCUGUCCGUUAAGCUCACUCUCGGGUGGGUGGGCAGGAUGGCUUGUAGGAGAUUUUUCAGCCCGUCUCGACCCGGCUCCGCCGCCCGACCGUGGUCUAGAACCGAGGUUCGACAACCGCGCAUGCGCCUCGACGCUCGAGCCCGUCCCGCACGUAGGGUUUUUCUGGCCGCCGAUAGACCCCUCCCCUCCGCCCUUGGCGGUUACAUGAAGCGGUCGCCCUGCG
Molecule: ribosomal RNA, 742 nt
Filed under: Dendrothereua nubila
Lineage: Eukaryota; Metazoa; Arthropoda; Chilopoda; Scutigeromorpha; Scutigeridae
Description: eukaryotic LSU rRNA
Rfam family: Eukaryotic large subunit ribosomal RNA
Source: RNAcentral